CCUACGGGAGGCAGCAGUGAGGAAUAUUGGUCAAUGGCCGAGAGGCUGAACCAGCCAAGUCGCGUGAGGGAAGACGGCCCUACGGGUUGUAAACCUCUUGUGUCGGGGAGCAAAGAGAGUCACGUGUGACCCAUUGAGAGGACCCGAAGAAAAAGCAACGGCUAACUCCGUGCCAGCAGCCGCGGUAAUACGGAGGAUGCGAGCGUUAUCCGGAUUUAUUGGGGUUAAAGGGUGCGCAGGCGGAGGUGCAAGUCAGCGGUCAAAUUGCGGGGCUCCACCCCGGAAUGCCGUUGAAACUGCAUCCCUUGAGUGCGCGAGCAGUAUGCGGAAUGCGUGGUGUAGCGGUGAAAUUCAUAGAUAUCACGCAGCACUCCGAUUGCGAAGGCAGCAUACCGGCGCGCAACUGACGCUCAUGCACG
This 419-nucleotide ribosomal RNA is filed under the name uncultured bacterium. RNAcentral describes it as "partial 16S ribosomal RNA". It matches the Rfam family "Bacterial small subunit ribosomal RNA", at positions 338 to 755 of the family's 1533-position model. The record is from RNAcentral.